This 22-nucleotide microRNA is filed under the name Pristionchus pacificus. RNAcentral's name for it is "ppc-miR-8273-3p". Lineage: Eukaryota; Metazoa; Nematoda; Chromadorea; Rhabditida; Neodiplogasteridae. The record is from miRBase by way of RNAcentral.
UUUUGAAUGACUCUCCGUACAG